AUUUAUAUGACAUCACAUUUAUGUGAGGCGAACGUAGGGAACUGAAAUAUCUCAUGUACCUACAGGAAAAGAAAGUAAUAACGAUUCCCUGAGUAGCGACGAGCGAACGGGGAGUAGCCGUUAGCAUUAAGAGUUACAAAAUUUAUUGAUAGAAGAAGUGGUUGGAAUCCCACAUCAUAGAAGGUUAUAAUCCUGUAAUCGAAAUCAAUAAUCUCUGCUAACAAAAAGUAAGGCGGGGCACGUGAAACCCUGUUUGAACGAAUAAGGAGGACCACCUCCUAAGGCUAAAUACUACUUGGUGACCGAUAGUGAAACAGUACCGUGAGGGAAAGGUGAAAAGAACCCCGGGAGGGGAGUGAAAUAGAUUCUGAAACUUUAUGCUUACAAAUUAGUCAGAGCACUAUUAAUAGUGUGAUGGCGUGCCUUUUGUAGAAUGAACCGGCGAGUUACUCUUAUCUAGCAAGGAUAAGUUCAAUAAGGAACGUAUCCGUAGCGAAAGCGAAUCUUAACAGGGUGUUAAGUUAGAUGAGGUAGACCCGAAACCAGGUGAGCUAGCCAUGAUCAGGUUGAAGUUUGGGUAAAACCAAAUGGAGGACCGAACCAGGGAGUGUUAAAAAACUCUUGGAUGAAUUGUGGCUAGGGGUGAAAUUCCAACCGAACCUGGAGAUAGCUGGUUCUCCCCGAAAUAGCUUUAGGGCUAGCGUAUAGUUUAAGUUAUGUGAAGGUAGAGCACUGAAUGUGUAAGGGCCCCAUCUCGGGGUACCAAGCUCAAUCAAACUCCGAAUGUUACAUAAUAUAUUAUGCAGUCAGACUACGGGUGAUAAGGUUCGUGGUCGAAAGGGAAACAGCCCAGACCGCCAGAUAAGGUCCCAAAUUUUAUGCUAAGUGGAAAAGGAAGUAGUAUUACAUAAACAACCAGGAGGUUGGCUUAGAAGCAGCCACCCUUUAAAGAGUGCGUAAAAGCUCACUGGUCGAUUGCAAUACUGCGCCGACAGUGUACCGGGGCUAAGCAUAAAACCGAAGCUGCGGAUUUAAAACUAAAGUUUUAAGUGGUAGGGGAGCGUUCUUAGUGCAUUGAAGCAAGACCGGCAAGGACUUGUGGAGCGCUAAGAAGUGAGAAUGCCGGUGUGAGUAACGAAAAGACGGGUGAGAAUCCCGUCCGUCGAAAGCCCAAGGUUUCCAGGAGAAGGUUCGUCCUUCCUGGGUUAGUCGGGGCCUAAGGUCAGGGCGAAAGCCGUAGCCGAUGGAUAGCAGGUUAAUAUUCCUGUACCAUGAUAAGUAGUGAUGGAGUGACGAAGGAGGAUAGCGUCCGAGGAUUAGUGGAUUUCCUUCGAGAACUCAAGGUAGUGGUUAUAGUUAAAUGCGUAAUCACGUUAUAAACUGAGAGUUGUUAGGUUAAGGAUGAUGAUUUCAUACUUCUAAAAAAAGCUUCUAAACUUAAUACUUAUCAUGCCCGUACCGUAAACCGACACAGGUGGGUAGGUAGAGUAUACUAAGACGCGCGAGAAAACUCUUGUUAAGGAACUCGGCAAAAUGACUCCGUAACUUCGGGAUAAGGAGGACUAGAGUUGUAAUACAUUAGUCGCAGAGAAUAGACCCAAGCAACUGUUUAUCAAAAACACAGGUCCCUGCUAAAUUUUAUGAUGAUGUAUAGGGGCUGACGCCUGCCCGGUGCUGGAAGAUUAAUAAAAGAUGUUAACGCAUUCGAUUGAAGUCCCAGUAAACGGCGGCCGUAACUAUAACGGUCCUAAGGUAGCGAAAUUCCUUGUCAGGUAAGUUCUGACCCGCACGAAAGGCGUAAUGAUUUGGGUACUGUCUCAACAAGAGACUCGGUGAAAUCAAGCUGCCGGUGAAAACGCCGGCUACCCGCGACUAGACGAAAAGACCCCAUGGAGCUUUACUGCAACUUCAUAUUGAUGUCUGGCGUUUGAUGCACAGGAUAGGUGGGAGACUUGGAAAUUAGGACUUUGGUCUUGAUGGAGUCAACCUUGGGAUACCACCCUUUAAACGCUGGAUGUCUAACCUCGAGUAUGUGGAAUACUAGGGACAGUGUGUGGUAGGCAGUUUGACUGGGGCGGUCGCCUCCCAAAAGGUAACGGAGGCGCUCAAAGGUACCCUCAGAAUGGUCGGAAAUCAUUCUUUAGAGUGCAAAGGCAUAAGGGUGCUUGACUGCGAGAGAAACAACUCGAGCAGGAACGAAAGUUGGACUUAGUGAUCUUACGGUUUCAAUGUGGAAUGGCCGUGACUCAACGGAUAAAAGCUACCCUGGGGAUAACAGGCUUAUCGUAUCCAAGCGUUUAUAGCGACGAUACGGUUUGGUACCUCGAUGUCGGCUCAUCGCAUCCUGGAGCUGGAGAAGGUUCCAAGGGUUGGGCUGUUCGCCCAUUAAAGCGGUACGCGAGCUGGGUUCAGAACGUCGUAAGACAGUUCGGUCUCUAUCUGUCGUGGGCGUUGGAGAUUUGAAGGGAGCUGCCCCUAGUAUGAGAAGACCGGGGUGGACGUACCUCUGGUGCACCAGUUGGACUGCCAGGUCCACAGCUGGGUAGCUACGUACGGAGAAGAUAAACGCUGAAAGCAUAUAAGCGUGAAACUUUCCUUAAGAUGAGAUCUCCCAGUACUUAUGUACAUAUAAGAUCCCUUAAAGACUAUAAGGUUGAUAGGCCAGGUGUGUAAGUGUAGUGAUAUAUUUAGCUGACUGGUACUAAUAGAUCGAAAAGAGUUCAUCAA
Molecule: ribosomal RNA, 2727 nt
Filed under: termite gut metagenome
Description: bacterial LSU rRNA
Rfam family: Bacterial large subunit ribosomal RNA
Source: RNAcentral